UCUUGUACCAUGAAAAUGCAACUACACCUCGCCUUCGACAAACGCUGAGAAACCUUUUGUUUUUCUUUGCAUUUUUCAAACCCUUUUCUCUCUACUAUCUUAACAAACCCCAAUCCCCAAAAACCCUAAAUUUUAUUUCAAUCAACCCUAAAUUCAUCUAUCUCGUUUCACUUCGCGAUUUGCAGUAGCAACAUUUAGAAGAUAUGAAGUAGCAUGGUGGUUGAGAUAAUUGGUUGGAGUUGUUGCAUCUAAAGAUUUACCUGCAUAGACUUCUAAGGAAGAGUUUAGGCUUUGUUUGAGGAGUGGGAUCAUUCUUUGUAAUGUUCUUAACAAAGUUCAACUGGGUGAUGUAUCCAAGGUUGGAGUACCAUUAUCAGCAUUUCAGUAUUUUGAAAAUGUUAGAAACUUUCUUGUGGUUGUUCAGGAAAUUAGAAUUCCUACAUUUGAAGAAUUUGAUAUGCAACAAGUAUGUAAAGGAUCAUAUGUUUAAUACUGUUAGAAUUUCAAGAU
Molecule: long non-coding RNA, 510 nt
Organism: Cicer arietinum (chickpea)
Lineage: Eukaryota; Viridiplantae; Streptophyta; Magnoliopsida; Fabales; Fabaceae
Source: RefSeq, a predicted model, not a curated record